CCGCGGUAAAACCAGCUCCCCGAGGGGUUCCCACGCAUACUGGGCCUAAAGCGUCCGUAGCCGGCCCUGUAAGUCUGCAGUUAAAUCCGCCUGUAGACAGGCGGGUUGCUGCAGAUAUUGCAGGGCUAGGGAGCGGGAGGAGCCGGGGGUAUUCCCGGGGGAGCGGUAAAAUGCGUAGAUCCCGGGAGGACCACCAGUGGCGAAGGCGCCCGGCUUGAACGCGUCCGACGGUGAGGGACGAAAGCUGGGGGAGCAAACCGGAUUAGAUACCCGGGUAGUCCCAGCCGUAAACGAUGCCGGCUAGGUGCUGGCCAAGGUUUCGGCCUUGGCCAGUGUCGAAGCGAAGGCAUUAAGCCGGCCGCCUGAGGAGUACGGCCGCAAGGCUGAAACUUGAAGGAAUUGACGGGGGGGCACCACAAGGGGUGAAUGCCUGCGGCUUAAUUGGACUCAACGCCGGGAAUCUUACCGGGGGCGACAGCAGGAUGAAGGUCAGGCUGAAGACCUUACCAGACGCGCUGAGGGGUGGUGCAUGGCCGUCGCCAGCUCGUGCCGUGAGGUGUCCUGUUAAGUCAGGCAACGAGCGAGACCCCCGCCCCUAGUUGCCAGCGGCCUCCUUCGGGAGGGACCGGGCAAACUAGGGGGACCGCCUCCGAAGAGGAGGAGGAAGGUGGGGGCUACGGCAGGUCAGUAUGCCCCUAAUCCCCCGGGCCGCACGCGGGCU
RNAcentral lists this ribosomal RNA (721 nucleotides) under uncultured korarchaeote. RNAcentral describes it as "bacterial SSU rRNA". It matches the Rfam family "Archaeal small subunit ribosomal RNA", at positions 465 to 1182 of the family's 1478-position model. Lineage: Archaea; Thermoproteati; Thermoproteota. The record is from RNAcentral.